GCGCGAUUAGCUCAGCGGGAGAGCGCUACCUUGACACGGUAGAGGUCGCUGGUUCAAACCCAGCAUCGCGCA
This 72-nucleotide transfer RNA is filed under the name Haloechinothrix alba. RNAcentral describes it as "Pseudonocardineae bacterium YIM 93221 tRNA". It matches the Rfam family "tRNA". From Rfam's summary of the family: Transfer RNA (tRNA) molecules are approximately 80 nucleotides in length. Their secondary structure includes four short double-helical elements and three loops (D, anti-codon, and T loops). Further hydrogen bonds mediate the characteristic L-shaped molecular structure. tRNAs have two regions of fundamental functional importance: the anti-codon, which is responsible for specific mRNA codon recognition, and the 3' end, to which the tRNAs corresponding amino acid is attached (by aminoacyl-tRNA synthetases). tRNAs cope with the degeneracy of the genetic code in two manners: having more than one tRNA (with a specific anti-codon) for a particular amino acid; and 'wobble' base-pairing, i.e. permitting non-standard base-pairing at the 3rd anti-codon position. Lineage: Bacteria; Bacillati; Actinomycetota; Actinomycetes; Pseudonocardiales; Pseudonocardiaceae. The record is from Rfam by way of RNAcentral. RNAcentral also lists the same sequence under 3 other names.